CCACCAACCGGUCAUACUCUUUCUCCUCUAUCUCUCCAUUUCGACCACCACCACCAGCUGAAGAGAGAAACCGGAGCUGCCGUCGCCGUGUCUUCUUCCACCAUCACCCUCCACUGAAAUCCUUCCCCACUCAUGCACGCCCACACCCUCUCUAAACUUUCCUCUGUCGGCCACCGUGUCAACCCAACAAUUUCUUUUUCCCCAUCGCUGAUUUCAUUGAUUCCUCGCUCGCUGCCACAUCCACCUUCCCUCCAGCGUUCGGACGCCAGUGAAGCCCCCACAAACUGAGUCAAUCUUCUUGCGUUGGAGUCCCCGUGUUGACCUGCCAGCUGCCUUUCAUUCUUCUUUCGGUUUGUGCGUUGUCCAUCACUGAAGCAGCUGCCACGAUCGUCUGCUCCAUCUUCGUGUCCUCUCCAGCCUUCUCACGCUACCAGCGUUUUCGGUCCCCUCAGCCAGCGAAUCCAGCAGCGUGUGACAUCGGCCCAGCCCAGUUUUCUGCCACCGUUUGAAGCCAGCGAGAUCUGCAAGAGGUGAUCAGCCCAGCAGCAGUAAGCCGGACCAAUCUAGCAGCUCUUCAGUUGGCAAUUCUUGCUGCUUCUCGUAUGACCUGAAGCUGCAGCCCAACGAGCCUGUAGGAUUGAUCCAUAUGAGGCCCAUCUUCAGCAAUAUCAGCCCAUGUUCAAUUGAAUUGAAGCCCUCAAGAGCAGUCCAGCCCAUCUCGAGCCCAACAAGCCAGCCCAUCUUCUGCAGGCCCAACCCAGCUUGGGUCCAGCCCAAAAGCGAGAACAAAUCUCAGUUGGGCUGAGAUUUGUUGGGCCCAAGUUUAAGGCUUGGUCCAAGCGCGCCGGUGUCGUCGAAAGCCCGAUUUCGACCGCCGUUGCGGUGUCCCGGUCUCCGCUUUUAAUCAAGCCCCUAGAUGAGCCUGUGAAGAAGGAACCAGAAGAGGACGAUGAGCCGAUAAAAGAUGAAGAGCUUGAAGGAUAUGAGCUUAGUGAAAUAGAGUCAGAAAAGGAUCAGGAUGAUCCUGAGUACGACCCGGAUGAAGACUUAGAUCCCAUCAUCUUUUGUGACUCAUGUCUAAGUGUGAAUAGUGUGACUAGAAUGUUAUGAGUAGUCUUGUGAAUAGACUUUGAGUUAUGACAUGUAUAAAGGUUUGGUUGUAGAUUUCAAUAUGAAAAAUAUGGCAUUGCUUUUCUA
This is a long non-coding RNA of Eucalyptus grandis, 1197 nucleotides long. RefSeq lists it as uncharacterized. The record is from RefSeq and is a predicted model, not a curated record. The transcript has 2 exons. NCBI's taxonomy places the organism in Eukaryota, Viridiplantae, Streptophyta, Magnoliopsida, Myrtales, Myrtaceae.